UGGGGAAUUUUCCGCAAUGGGCGAAAGCCUGACGGAGCAAGACCGCGUGAGGGAAGAAGGCCUGUGGGUUGUAAACCUCUUUUGAUAGGGAAGAAGUUCUGACGGUACCUAUCGAAUAAGCCUCGGCUAACUCCGUGCCAGCAGCCGCGGUAAUACGGAGGAGGCAAGCGUUAUCCGGAAUUAUUGGGCGUAAAGCGUCCGUAGGUGGUUGUUCAAGUCUUCUGUCAAAGCGCGGAGCUUAACUCCGUAAAGGCAGAGGAAACUGAGCGGCUAGAGUGCGAUAGGGGGCAGAGGGAAUUCCCAGUGUAGCGGUGAAAUGCGUAGAUAUUGGGAAGAACACCGGUGGCGAAAGCGCUCUGCUGGGUCUGCACUGACACUGAGGGACGAAAGCUAGGGGAGCGAAAGGGAUUAGAUACCCCUGUAGUCCUAGCUGUAAACGAUGGGUACUAGGCGUUGUCCGUAUCGACCCGGGCAGUGCCGUAGCUAACGCGUUAAGUACCCCG
RNAcentral lists this ribosomal RNA (503 nucleotides) under uncultured cyanobacterium. RNAcentral describes it as "bacterial SSU rRNA". It matches the Rfam family "Bacterial small subunit ribosomal RNA", at positions 355 to 871 of the family's 1533-position model. Lineage: Bacteria; Bacillati; Cyanobacteriota. The record is from RNAcentral.